GCUCGGUACCCAGUUUGAUCCUGGCUCAGAUUGAACGCUGGCGGCAGGCUUAACACAUGCAAGUCGAACGAUGACUCUCUAGCUUGCUAGAGAUGAUUAGUGGCGGACGGGUGAGUAACAUUUAGGAAUCUACCUAGUAGUGGGGGAUAGCUCGGGGAAACUCGAAUUAAUACCGCAUACGACCUACGGGUGAAAGGGGGCGCAAGCUCUUGCUAUUAGAUGAGCCUAAAUCAGAUUAGCUAGUUGGUGGGGUAAAGGCCCACCAAGGCGACGAUCUGUAACUGGUCUGAGAGGAUGAUCAGUCACACCGGAACUGAGACACGGUCCGGACUCCUACGGGAGGCAGCAGUGGGGAAUAUUGGACAAUGGGGGCAACCCUGAUCCAGCCAUGCCGCGUGUGUGAAGAAGGCCUUUUGGUUGUAAAGCACUUUAAGCAGGGAGGAGAGGCUAAUGGUUAAUACCCAUUAGAUUAGACGUUACCUGCAGAAUAAGCACCGGCUAACUCUGUGCCAGCAGCCGCGGUAAUACAGAGGGUGCGAGCGUUAAUCGGAAUUACUGGGCGUAAAGCGAGUGUAGGUGGCUCAUUAAGUCACAUGUGAAAUCCCCGGGCUUAACCUGGGAACUGCAUGUGAUACUGGUGGUGCUAGAAU
Molecule: ribosomal RNA, 650 nt
Filed under: uncultured Moraxella sp.
Lineage: Bacteria; Pseudomonadati; Pseudomonadota; Gammaproteobacteria; Moraxellales; Moraxellaceae
Description: bacterial SSU rRNA
Rfam family: Bacterial small subunit ribosomal RNA
Source: RNAcentral